UGUUUUAAUGGCAAAGAUGGAUCAUCCCAGAGCUCAUCAUGACAGACAUAAAGCUUGUGACGUGACUGAACCUGUGUAUGAGAAUGUAACGAUGGAUAACUCCAGAGCUCAUCAUCAUGACAGGCGUAAAGCUUGUGAUGCGACUGAACCUGUGUAUGACAAUGUAACGAUGGAUCAUCCCAGACCUCAUCAUGACAGACAUAAAGCUUGUGACGUGACUGAACCUGUGUAUGAGAAUGUAACGCUUGAUGGGAAGAGGACGUAGAACUUGUGAGCUUAAUGAUUUUACAGAAUAAUGUAUCUUAGUAUCUUGAAAAUCCUUUAAUGCAGCCUAAAUCUCCUGUUUGAAUGUUAGAUUCCUGUUCAAUAAAGGCAUUUAUACAUUGACAUACAUGUAAAGCUUCUUUAAAACAAUUGUGAAAUGCCAG
Molecule: long non-coding RNA, 428 nt
Filed under: Sinocyclocheilus grahami
Lineage: Eukaryota; Metazoa; Chordata; Actinopteri; Cypriniformes; Cyprinidae
Description: lncRNA (ENSSGRG00000004782.1)
Source: RNAcentral